AGCCUUCUGUAUCCGUGAUGAGAUUCCGUCAGAGAUCAACCAGUUGGCACUGGCUGAUGCAACUUCCCAAAUAAGUGAAGCG
RNAcentral lists this microRNA precursor (82 nucleotides) under Trichobilharzia regenti. Its description in RNAcentral is "mir-3492 microRNA precursor family". It matches the Rfam family "mir-3492 microRNA precursor family". Lineage: Eukaryota; Metazoa; Platyhelminthes; Trematoda; Strigeidida; Schistosomatidae. The record is from Rfam by way of RNAcentral.